UGGGGAAUCUUGCACAAUGGGGGAAACCCUGAUGCAGCGACGCCGCGUGAGCGAUGAAGCCCUUCGGGGUGUAAAGCUCUUUCGGCAGGGAAGAUUAUGACGGUACCUGCAGAAGCAGCUGCGGCUAACUACGUGCCAGCAGCCGCGGUAAUACGUAGGCAGCAAGCGUUGUUCGGAGUUACUGGGCGUAAAGGGUGUGUAGGCGGUCCCCUAAGUUUGGUGUGAAAUCUCCCGGCUCAACUGGGAGGGUGCGCCGAAAACUGGGGGGCUAGAGUACUGGAUGGGAGAGUGGAAUUCCUGGUGUAGCGGUGAAAUGCGUAGAUAUCAGGAGGAACACCUGUGGUGUAGACGGCUCUCUGGACAGUAACUGACGCUGAGACACGAAAGCGUGGGUAGCAAACA
Molecule: ribosomal RNA, 402 nt
Filed under: Candidatus Solibacter sp.
Lineage: Bacteria; Pseudomonadati; Acidobacteriota; Terriglobia; Bryobacterales; Solibacteraceae
Also listed under: 1 other name
Description: partial 16S ribosomal RNA
Rfam family: Bacterial small subunit ribosomal RNA
Source: RNAcentral